GGUAAUGCCGGAUGCUCCAGUUGAUCGCAUGGUCUUCUGGGAAAGCUUUCGCGGUAUGGGAUGGGGUCGCGUCCUAUCAGCUUGACGGCGGGGUAACGGCCCACCGUGGCUUCGACGGGUAGCCGGCCUGAGAGGGCGACCGGCCACAUUGGGACUGAGAUACGGCCCAGACUCCUACGGGAGGCAGCAGUGGGGAAUAUUGCACAAUGGGCGCAAGCCUGAUGCAGCGACGCCGCGUGAGGGAUGGAGGCCUUCGGGUUGUAAACCUCUUUUAUCGGGGAGCAAGCGAGAGUGAGUUUACCCGUUGAAUAAGCACCGGCUAACUACGUGCCAGCAGCCGCGGUAAUACGUAGGGUGCAAGCGUUAUCCGGAAUUAUUGGGCGUAAAGGGCUCGUAGGCGGUUCGUCGCGUCCGGUGUGAAAGUCCAUCGCUUAACGGUGGAUCCGCGCCGGGUACGGGCGGGCUUGAGUGCGGUAGGGGAGACUGGAAUUCCCGGUGUAACGGUGGAAUGUGUAGAUAUCGGAAAGAACACCA
This 534-nucleotide ribosomal RNA is filed under the name Bifidobacterium longum subsp. infantis. Its description in RNAcentral is "bacterial SSU rRNA". It matches the Rfam family "Bacterial small subunit ribosomal RNA", at positions 162 to 711 of the family's 1533-position model. Lineage: Bacteria; Bacillati; Actinomycetota; Actinomycetes; Bifidobacteriales; Bifidobacteriaceae. The record is from RNAcentral.